Molecule: ribosomal RNA, 716 nt
Filed under: Bacillus sp. CH26b
Lineage: Bacteria; Bacillati; Bacillota; Bacilli; Caryophanales; Bacillaceae
Description: bacterial SSU rRNA
Rfam family: Bacterial small subunit ribosomal RNA
Source: RNAcentral
AUACAUGCAGUCGAGCGAAUGGAUUGAGAGCUUGCUCUCAAGAAGUUAGCGGCGGACGGGUGAGUAACACGUGGGUAACCUGCCCAUAAGACUGGGAUAACUCCGGGAAACCGGGGCUAAUACCGGAUAACAUUUUGAACUGCAUGGUUCGAAAUUGAAAGGCGGCUUCGGCUGUCACUUAUGGAUGGACCCGCGUCGCAUUAGCUAGUUGGUGAGGUAACGGCUCACCAAGGCAACGAUGCGUAGCCGACCUGAGAGGGUGAUCGGCCACACUGGGACUGAGACACGGCCCAGACUCCUACGGGAGGCAGCAGUAGGGAAUCUUCCGCAAUGGACGAAAGUCUGACGGAGCAACGCCGCGUGAGUGAUGAAGGCUUUCGGGUCGUAAAACUCUGUUGUUAGGGAAGAACAAGUGCUAGUUGAAUAAGCUGGCACCUUGACGGUACCUAACCAGAAAGCCACGGCUAACUACGUGCCAGCAGCCGCGGUAAUACGUAGGUGGCAAGCGUUAUCCGGAAUUAUUGGGCGUAAAGCGCGCGCAGGUGGUUUCUUAAGUCUGAUGUGAAAGCCCACGGCUCAACCGUGGAGGGUCAUUGGAAACUGGGAGACUUGAGUGCAGAAGAGGAAAGUGGAAUUCCAUGUGUAGCGGUGAAAUGCGUAGAGAUAUGGAGGAACACCAGUGGCGAAGGCGACUUUCUGGUCUGUAACUGACACUG